UACAGAGGUCCCAAGCGUUGUUCGGAUUCACUGGGCGUAAAGGGUGCGUAGGUGGCGAGGUAAGUCUGAUGUGAAAUCUCCGAGCUUAACUCGGAAAUGGCAUUGGAAACUACUUUGCUUGAGGGUUGGAGGGGGGACUGGAAUACUUGGUGUAGCAGUGAAAUGCGUAGAUAUCAAGUGGAACACCAGUGGCGAAGGCGAGUCCCUGGACAACUCCUGACACUGAGGCACGAAAGCUAGGGGAG
Molecule: ribosomal RNA, 245 nt
Filed under: uncultured bacterium
Lineage: Bacteria
Description: partial 16S ribosomal RNA
Rfam family: Bacterial small subunit ribosomal RNA
Source: RNAcentral